Long non-coding RNA from Xenopus tropicalis (tropical clawed frog), 521 nucleotides. RefSeq lists it as uncharacterized. The record is from RefSeq and is a predicted model, not a curated record. NCBI's taxonomy places the organism in Eukaryota, Metazoa, Chordata, Amphibia, Anura, Pipidae. The transcript has 4 exons.
AUGAAGUUUGUUCUCAAACUUCCCUUUCUAGUUUACUAAAUGCAUUCUGUCUGAAGUUUAUUUGCUCUUAUAUUAUAUUCUAUGGUCUCUCUAUCCAGAUUGCUAUACUGCUGAGCUACUGUACCUGCGGUUUGUGCGACCUGCGACUUUAAUUGCUAUUCCUGAGCGAUUUUUUGGCUUCCCCUUUAGUUCGAUCAAUUCUAUUCUGGUCUGAGCUUGGGGAAAGCCACUUUCUACUGAGGGUCUCCCUUGGGUGCCCCGGCCUUGUGCCGGUCCUCAAGUGUGAGGAACCCCUCACUAUACGAACCAGAAGAGUUUAACAUCUGGCACUUCUGGUUCCAACGGCACCUUCUGGCACACCUUUUUUAGAGGUGGCUGUACUUUGAGGCAGCAGAAUGCCAGAGGUAAAGGUGCUUUUCGCAGUCCUGGAGGACUAUAUUCAUCAACAGAGCUUCGAUGAGGCCAUUUUUGGCUACUAUGAACAUCAAUACAUUCAAAGAUUUCCGGACAUCGACGACUGG